CAAGGUCUUAAAUAGUCGGGUAAGUUAUCAUAACUUAACUGCAUAGUUGCCCGACUAUAGUCUUCAGACUCACGGUCAAGAUAGGAAAAUAGAGCUUUUUUAACCUUAUGCCACCAAGAUCUUUCCAUUUUCUUCCUUUUGAUUAUUCCAGCUACCAAGACAACCACUAGGGGCAACCCUUUGCAACGUCUUGCAACAUCUAGACUCACAUCGUGUAGUUCAGGUGGGCAAGUUUCCACCAACCCGUAAUCUUCUGGUCACAUGGCAACUACUUUAGUUCGUCCUCAUAAAAAAAUUUUAGUUACCAAAUCAGUGAAAAAUGAGAUAAUAGCAAGUGAAACCAACAUAAAUAUUUUGAAAAGAAGCAACGGAAUCAAAAGUUAAUAUUCAGUCUUACAAUGAAGCAAGCGCGAAAAGGGUACAACUAGUCGGGUUUGCAAAGCGAUAACUAGAAAUGACGGUUAAAAAAAAACAAGCGCGAAAAGAGUAGUCUGUAAGUUUUUCUUACAUGUGUGUGGCCCAGUUGGUUUAAGGUCCGUAAUUAAUAUUUAAUUAAUGACUAAAUCUUACCCGUCCAAUAGGUUACUUGAUGGAUGUACCAGAUUAAGUGAGAACCUCUAUAAAUUGGUCCGCUGUUACCACUUAAAUUUCUACAUACAAUCCCAUCAUUGACGGCUGUGGUAAUGUAAGGCUAGGGCUAGGAGGUAGAAAACUAUUUCUAUAAAUGCUUUCGCUUUGUGAUAAUUGUUGCUGCUUCAGGUAUGUUUAAUUAUAUAUAAGAUUAUCACGUUCAAGAUCUUGAUAUUAAUUAAAGUUUAUGUUUACAUAGUCUUCUUUUGCCCUCUUUUGUGUGUGUGUGUCUCCAAUUUUAUGAUCUUGUAAGGAGAAAAAGUGUAUUAGGAGCUACUAUGCUUGUGAAAGAUUAUACACAUUCUGCAUUUUUUUUUUAAUGAAAACUUUCACAAAUUGCUUCCCUUAGGUUUUGAUAUCAAAUAUAUUAUACGAACUUCCCUUCUUUCAUAUUUUUUUAGGUAAGUAACAACAACAACAACAACAACUACCCAGUAUAUUCCCACCAGGUGGGGUCUGGGGAGGAAGAGAUCAUAACUACAACAACAACAACAACAACAACAACAACUACCCAGUAUAUUCCCACCAGGUGGGGUCCGGGGAGGGUAAUAUGUGAGCCUUACCCCUGCCCGAGAGGGCAGAGAGGCUGUUUCCAAUCGACCCUCGGCGUAUAGGAUAACAAAGGAAAAGCUGCAUUAAGAAACAAAGGUAAAAUUAGAAACACAAGCAAGACAAAACCAAAUAAUAAAGCAUAAGUACUCCCGCAGAAAUAACGUAAAUAAUUAUGAAAACAUAAGCAACAUAGAUACAGUCACAUGCAAUAAUAAAAUAAAGCAUAAGUACUCCCGCAGAAAUAACGUAAAUAAUUAUGAAAACAUAAGCAACAUAGAUACAGUCGCAUGCAAUAAUAACAAGCAGUAACUACCAUACUAACAACCAUAUGGGGACAUAAGCUAAAACACUAAUCACCUAUAAGUAACCCUACUAUCCCACACCCAACCCCUGGAUAGGCUACGAAGAACUCUAUGAGCCCCUAGCCUACAAUCCUGAUUUUAGACCUCCAGACUCCCUUAUCAAGGGUCAUGUCCUCGGUAACCUGCAUUCUGGUCAUGUUCUGCCUAAUCACCUCUCCCUAGGGGUGUUCAUCGGGCGGAUUGAGCGGCUUUUACUCUUAACGGUUUGGCUUAACGGUUAUCGGCUUUUAAAUGUAUUAAUCCGUUAGCCACCCGAUAAGAUAUCGGGCGGAUUGGUAUCGGGUUAGCUCUUAUCGGACGGUUACCGGGCGGUUUAUCGGUUUAAUACCUAUGGGGUUAUCGAAAAGAUUAUACAUAUUCGGAGUACGUGUGUCUGUUAUUGGACAUAGACAUAGACUUCCCAUAACUUUGCGGAAAGAACUAAAGGAAGCCAUACUUUCCUUUCAACAAAGACACAGACGUUUUGGUGAACAUACAUAUUGAAACAUUACUUUCCCUCGUAUCUCUUCUCUUCUUAUUCAUAUGUUUGGUAAAGAAAUUUUGGAAGAGCUGCAUAA
Molecule: long non-coding RNA, 2101 nt
Filed under: Nicotiana benthamiana
Lineage: Eukaryota; Viridiplantae; Streptophyta; Magnoliopsida; Solanales; Solanaceae
Description: long non-coding RNA (NBEN_LNC020338)
Source: RNAcentral